This 683-nucleotide transfer RNA is filed under the name Acinetobacter baylyi. RNAcentral describes it as "16S-23S ribosomal RNA intergenic spacer". The stretch from base 61 to 134 matches the Rfam family "tRNA". Lineage: Bacteria; Pseudomonadati; Pseudomonadota; Gammaproteobacteria; Moraxellales; Moraxellaceae. The record is from RNAcentral.
ACGAAAGAUUGAUUGGCCGGUAAGAAUCCACAACAAGUUGUUCUUCUAAGAUGUAUCUGAGGGUCUGUAGCUCAGUUGGUUAGAGCACACGCUUGAUAAGCGUGGGGUCACAAGUUCAAGUCUUGUCAGACCCACCAAGUCUACGGCAGAAAGAUACAUUAAUGAUAUAAGCUGGGGACUUAGCUUAGUUGGUAGAGCGCCUGCUUUGCACGCAGGAGGUCAGGAGUUCGACUCUCCUAGUCUCCACCAAAUUUCAAGAGCAGAAAAGCAACGCUUUUCCUUGAAAUUUAAGCAAACAGCUAUGCUGUGCGCAGGCACACAUAGGAUGGAGCUUGGAGCUAAGAAAAUUAUAGAGCUUAGUAAAUAUAAAGUUUAUUAACCUCUGUGAUUUAUCACAGUUUAGUGUGAUCUGACGAAGACACAUUAAUUCAUUAACAGAUUGGAAAAUAUUGAGUCUGAAAUAAAUUGUUCAAACUCGAUUAGAUAAGAAGCUAACAAGCAAUUGUUAGAUGAAUAUUUAAUCUUGAGAACUAGCAAAUUAACUGAAUCAAGCGUUUUGGUAUAUGAAUUUAGAUUGAAGCUGUACGGUGAUUAAGUUCACGAAACAACAAGCUGUGGAGCUAAGGUAACUUAGUUCUGUCUUAACCUGACUUGUAAGGGUUAACGACUGUUUGGGGUUGUAU